GCUCUCUGUUACCACACCGAGUCCUGUGUGGAUGCUAUGCUCGAGCGAGAGCUGGGUUUACUCAGAAAACAAACCAUAAAAGAGGUAUUUUGACACUAAAGUUAACUGCAAACGUUAUGGAAGUAGACGAGAAUCACUAGACAUCUUUGAACCACGUAGAAAUCGAUAUUUCGGAUUCUCUUCAGCGGGACUUUGAUCUUCGUCCGUCUGCCACUGUGCCUUGAUGUCCAUCCACGUCCACAUCUCCAUCUCCAUCACAUCGAACGUCUCGUUGGACAUUCAUUAUAAGGAUGUUCAGAGGGAGCUGAUGCCACAUCUGGUCCAGCCGAUGAAGGUCUUGAAGUUCUCUGACUGAAGAUGGUCCUCUCACUGGAUUUAAGGUUCAGAUGCUCUGUAACAAACUCCACCAAUGAGCCAACAGGGAAGCUUUAGGUUUAUUAAAUGCUGCUGUGAAGGUAUCGCUGUUUUUCUUUGUGAAUGCAACGUGCUCCAACUGAAACUUGAACUAGAACUUAGAAGUAAAUCCUUCCAUCUGAAAGGAUUUAGUUGCAUUCAUAAUCUCAUGACAUUCUAAUUUUUAUUCCAGUCUUGGUUGGAAAUAGAAUCUCUGUAUUGAUUCAGGUAAAAACUGAACUUCACAGCAUGCUGGAGCAAAACAAGUAGAUGAAAACUAUGAUGGUGUUGGAUUGUCAGAGCAUAAUGUUGCAGCUCAAAGCAGCUUUUCUUUCUCAGUUCAUUCUGACAUUCAGCUCUGAAUCUACAGCAGAUCCAGUUGAUGGUGAUCCAUGCUGUGGAAGUCUCACAUCUCCUCAUUUAAUUACACUGUUUAUUCACCAACACUUUAUUUAAUAAAAGUCCCAUCUAGUUUUUAUGAGGAAUGUGAUGUUUUAAUUUCUCUGUGAAUAACUGCAGUUUAAUGGAACGUCUGGAGUUGGAACAUCUGUCCUGAUAUUGAUCAUGAAGUACUGAUCAGAAUACUUCUGUUAGCAGUCAUCCCUGAAGUUUUACAUUAAAAUCUUUACUUUUGUUGUGAACUUUGUUAAGAAGCAGAAACUUUAGCGUUGCCAUGGAUACAUGAGUGUUAAAUUCUGUCCAUGUUUCAUUAUGGGAUGGAGUCCAGCAGAUGAGUUUGUUUUUACUGACAGCUACCAUUCAGUCUGAGAUAUUAAGAAUAAAUAAAUGUGCAUAAUGUGGAAAUGAACAGGUUUUAUUUUUAUUUAUUCCUACAGCCAGAAUGUGGAGAAAUUUAGUCUCACAAUCACAGACAAUAAAUAUUGUCUGAAAGUCGGGUUAUUGUUGUUUAUCAACACAAUACAAAAAGAUUCACAUUAGAAAUAUUCCAGUUAAGACUCUAGAAGAUCAUGAUUUAUGUAAAUUUACUGCAAUAAUAUGAAUGUUCAGGUUAAGACUGUGCAGUGAUAUUUAUUAUGCAAGUUUAGCUGAUUAAAGCUUACGAUUCUGUACGACAAUAGUAUUUAAAAUUACAUCAUAAUAUUUAGGGUCAGAUACAGUAUUGAGAUUAAGAAAUCAAAUAUUCUAUAAAAUGUAAACACACUGAACUAAUUUGGAUGUAUUUAAGUGAGACUCGACAAUAUUAUUCGACGCAAAUCUAUGAAUCAAAAUUUAAAUAAUUUUUACUCCAAACAUUGACUGGACUGAUUUAAAUAUUAAAAUCACUCCUUUCUAAGCCUCUGCUAUAUGUUCAAACCUGAGGCCUUAAAUAGAAACACACAAGUAUCUGAAGGAACUUCUGCAGAGUCCUGGUUCCAGAACGCGAUGAUAGAAUUAUAGACAAACUUUACCAGAAGCUGCCUGAGAGUUUACAGGUUUUUAUGUUGGGUUUCUUCAGUAGUUUAAUGAGUUAUCAGCAAAAAUCAGUUAUUCAUUGGAUAAACUUCAUUUCCUAAACAUCCAGAAUUGGAGCUCAUAUCUUUGGCAGCUGUAAAGUUUCUGCUUCUUCAAAGUUCACAACACAAUGAAUUAAUUCCUGAAACACACUCAUGGCUGGAGAGCGUUUGUGAUGCUGAAGCAGUGACCAGUUUUUCUGUUUCUUCUCUGGAGAUGCACGAUGAGGGACGUCUGCAGCGACUGAGAAGGAAUCUCACCACAUCCUGACAUGAGGAAAAAGACUUUAUUGAAGACAACGAUGAGGAAAAACUAUCAGACAGCAGACGGCAUGCAUUCAAGAGAGGAAGACCAUCAAGCAUCCACAUCAGCUGAUGGAGGUCCAAGAGUCUCACCAAACAACCUACAGAGUGAAGACCUCUAACCUGAUUGGACGGCCUCCUGUGCAGCCACAUAUGAGUACAAGAUACUUCAGAGCCGUUCUACCACGAGCCUGACAGGAAGAACUCCAACAGCUACUGAAUGUUCCUGUGGUCCCCUCAAGGCUACAGGAGGAGUCCUACAAGGAUGAGCCGGUCCAUCUGAUGGCGGCCAGUCGCUGGGGUUCAAAGCCGACACCGACUACAUGGACUUCUACUGGACCACAUGGAGGCCUUCAAACCGGACCAACGAGUUCAACGACUCCCCAACUCGUGGGUCUGAGGACGCCGCCGAGCCUCUGCCCAGCCGGCCGCGUGUCUGUGGGUGUUUGAGUGGUGGGAGGUUUGUGGAUGCAUGUGAACGUGUCUGUGUUAAAACAGCAGCUUUUGACUCAGUAACGCCAGUAAAAACCAAGAGCUCCUUUAUUUGUGACUUCCAUUAAAAAAAACUGAUGGAAAAAAAUUUGCUAGGGUUCUGACUGAUAACAGAUUAUUAAAUAAUGAAAAUAAUAGUUUAAAUAUUCCUUUAAACAAUCCUUUUAGUGAUAAAUGUGCAUAAUGUGGAGUAGCACACCAUACUAUGACGUUUUUACAGUGAAGGUUCUACUAUGGAACCAGUUUGACAUGUUCAGGUGUUCUUUGUGUGAAAACUCAGAGAUUUCAGGUAUCAGAAUGUGGUUUUCAACUUCUUUGUUAACUUUCUGCUUCAACUUUAAACUAAACUUACUUCACUAAGCCAGCCCUCUCGACUUCAGUAAGCUGUGUUCCUAUUGGCUGUCCAGGUGGCUGCUUGGUGUUAUCAGGAACACUAGUCCGGGUGCCGUGGGGUUGGACGUGGAUCCGACUGAUAAAGUUUUUUUUCUUUGCAGAUUCUGGUAGCCCAGAUGGUCCCAAUUGAGAAUCCACUUGAUGACAUCGCGUCACCUUUGGGCAUUUCGAGUAAUAUGCUAAUUAAGGCAGCCAUUACCAGAAAUCUUUUUUUGCCCAAUAUUGGCAGAAGUGAACAUGCUAGAGCAAUGAAAAUGGUGUCUAUACUCAGGUUUUCAAGAUCAAGGAAUCAUAUGAGACCAUUCCUAGGGAACUGAGAUGACUGCAUCGUAAUGUAUUCGAUAUGGCCGCCGUGGCGUAUCCGCUAACCAUUAUUUCAUGAUAUGGCAUGCUUUUACGACAUGUUGAAAAAAAAUGGCAUUUUUUUCGACAUAGUAUACUAUGACUUUUUUUGGAUAAAAUUCAUGAUGAUUUUUUUUCAAAGAAAACUGCUCUAUAGUGUUUAUCACGGCCUACUUUACAUUAUUUCAUUGUAUGGCAUGUUUUUACGACGUUGAAAAAAUGGCAUUUUUUUUGACAUACUAAACUAUGACGUUUUUGUCACAUUUUGGAAGACAUACUAAACUAUGACGUUUUUUUAAAUUUUUUGGACGACAUACUAAACUAUGACGUUUUUGGUGACAUUUUGGACGACAUUCUAAAUGAUGAUGUUUUUGUCACUUUUUGGACGACAUACUAAACUGACGUUUUUGGUGAGGUUUUGGACGACAUACUAAACUAUGACGUUUUUGUCACAUUUUGGACGACAUACUAAACUAUGAUGUUUUUGUCACAUUUUGGACGACAUACUAAACUGACGUUUUUGGUGACAUUUUGGAUGACAUACUAAACUAUGACAUUUUUGGUGACAUUUUGGACGACAUACUAAACUACGACGAUUUUGUCACAUUUUGGACAACAUACUAAACUAUGACGUUUUUGUCACAUUUUGGACGACAUACUAAACUGACGUUUUUGGUGACAUUUUGGAUGACAUACUAAACUAUGACAUUUUUGGUGACAUUUUGGACGACAUACUAAACUACGACGAUUUUGUCACAUUUUGAACAACAAACUAAACUAUGACGGUUUUGUCACAUUUUGGACGACAUAGUAAACUAUGAUGUUUUGUCAUUUUUUCGAUGACAUACUAAACUAUGACGUUUUCGUCAUUUUUUGGACGACAUACUAAACUAUGAUGUUUUUGUCACAUUUUGGACGACAUACCAAACGAUGACGUUUUUCUCACAUUUGGGACGACAUACUAAACUAUGACGUUUUUUUCACAUUUUGGACGACAUACUAAACUAUGAUGUUUUUGUCACAUUUUGGACAACAUACUAAACUAUGACGUUUUUGGUGACAUUUUGGACGACAUACUAAACUAUAACCUUUUUGUCAUUUUUUCGAUGACAUACUAAACUAUGAUGUUUUUGUCACAUUUUGGACGACAUACUAAACUAUGAUGUUUUUGUCGCUUUUGGCACGACAUACUAAACUACGACGUUUUUGGUGACAUUUUGGAUGACGUACUAAACUGACGUUUUUGUCACAUUUUGGACGACAUACUAAACUACGACGAUUUUGUCACAUUUUGGACAACAUACUAAACUAUGACGUUUUUGUCACAUUUUGGACGACAUACUAAACUGACGUUUUUGGUGACAUUUUGGAUGACAUACUAAACUAUGACAUUUUUGGUGACAUUUUGGACGACAUACUAAACUACGACGAUUUUGUCACAUUUUGAACAACAAACUAAACUAUGACGUUUUUGUCACAUUUUGGACGACAUACUAAACUGACGUUUUUGGUGACAUUUUGGACGACAUACUAAACUAUGACAUUUUUGGUGACAUUUUGGACGACAUACUAAACUACGACGAUUUUGUCACAUUUUGAACAACAAACUAAACUAUGACGGUUUUGUCACAUUUUGGACGACAUAGUAAACUAUGAUGUUUUGUCAUUUUUUCGAUGACAUACUAAACUAUGACGUUUUCGUCAUUUUUUGGACGACAUACUAAACUAUGAUGUUUUUGUCACAUUUUGGACGACAUACCAAACGAUGACGUUUUUCUCACAUUUGGGACGACAUACUAAACUAUGACGUUUUUUUCACAUUUUGGACGACAUACUAAACUAUGAUGUUUUUGUCACAUUUUGGACAACAUACUAAACUAUGACGUUUUUGGUGACAUUUUGGACGACAUACUAAACUAUAACCUUUUUGUCAUUUUUUCGAUGACAUACUAAACUAUGAUGUUUUUGUCACAUUUUGGACGACAUACUAAACUAUGAUGUUUUUGUCGCUUUUGGCACGACAUACUAAACUACGACGUUUUUGGUGACAUUUUGGAUGACGUACUAAACUGACGUUUUUGUCACAUUUUGGACGACAUACUAAACUAUGACGUUUUUGUCACAUUUUGGACGACAUACUAAUCUAUGACGUUUGUGUCACAUUUUGGAUGACAUACUAAUCUAUGACGUUUUUGUCACAUUUGGGACGACAUACGAAACUGACGUUUUUGGUGACAUGUUGGACGACACUAUGACGUUUUUGUCACAUUUGGGAUGACAUACUAAACUAUGACGUUUUUGUCACAUUUGGGACGACAUACUAAACUAUGACGUUUUUGUCACAUUUUGGACGACAUACUAAACUAUGAUGUUUUUGUCACAUUUUGGACGACAUACUAAACUAUGACGUUUUUGUCACAUUUGGGACGACAUACUAAACUAUGACGUUUUUGUCACAUUUGGGACGACAUAUUAAACUAUGAUUUUUUGUCACAUUUUGGACGACAUACUAAACUAUGAUGUUUUUGUCACAUUUUGGACGACAUACUAAACUAUGACGUUUUUGUCACAUUUGGGACGACAUACUAAACAAUGAUUUUUUUUGUCACAUUUUGGACGACAUACUAAACUACGACGUUUUUGGUGACAUUUUGGAUGACGUACUAAACUAUGACGUUUUUGGUGACAUUUUGGACGACAUACUAAACUAUGACGUUUUUGGUGACAUUUUGGACGACAUACUAAACUAUGACGUUUUUGUCACAUUUGGGACGACAUACUAAACUAUGAUGUUUUUGUCACAUUUUGGACGACAUACCAAACUAUGAUGUUUUUGUCACAUUUUGGACGACAUACCAAACUAGGAUGUUUUUGUCACAUUUUGGACGACAUACCAAACUAUGACGUUUUUGUCACAUUUUGGACGACAUACUAAUCUAUGACGUUUUUGUCACAUUUUGGACGACAUACUAAACUGUGACGUUUUUGGUGACAUUUUGGACGACAUACUAAACUAUGACGAUUUAGUCACAUUUUGGACGACAUACUAAACUAUGACGUUUUCGUCACAUUUUGGACGACAUACUAAACUAUGACGAUUUUGUCACAUUUUGGACGACAUACUAAACUAUGAUGUUUUGGUCACAUUUUGGACGACAUAUUAAACUAUGACGUUUUUGGUGACAUUUUGGACGACAUACUAAACUAUGACGUUUUUGUCACAUUUUGGACGACAUACCAAACUAUGACGUUUUUGGUGACAUUUUGGACGACAUACUAAACUAUGACGUUUUUGUCACUUUUUGGACGACAUACUAAACUAUGACGUUUUUGGUGACACUUUGGACGACAUACUAAACUAUGACGUUUUUGUCACAUUUUGGACGACAUACUAAACUAUGAUGUUUUUACCUCAUUUGUGACAAAAUGUGAAAUAUGAUGUUUUAAUGUUCACAGUGGAUGUCAGAGGAGCAAGAGGCCAUGUUGCAAGAAGAGGAUGUGGGCGACCCAGACCACAUCCAGAACCAGAACCAGAACCUGGACCUGCUCAUGUACCUGAAUUUUGAAAACAAAAUUCAAAAUUUGACAAUAAAGUGCGCUUUUGACACAA
Molecule: long non-coding RNA, 6984 nt
Organism: Acanthochromis polyacanthus (spiny chromis)
Lineage: Eukaryota; Metazoa; Chordata; Actinopteri; Pomacentridae
Exons: 5
Source: RefSeq, a predicted model, not a curated record